This is a long non-coding RNA of Rhododendron vialii, 1060 nucleotides long. RefSeq lists it as uncharacterized. NCBI's taxonomy places the organism in Eukaryota, Viridiplantae, Streptophyta, Magnoliopsida, Ericales, Ericaceae. The record is from RefSeq and is a predicted model, not a curated record. The transcript has 2 exons.
UCAAAAAUUUAGACAAGAGAAGAGAACUUGAGAGAGGGGCUCCCACCACCACUACCGGUGGCCACGAUCCCAUCACCACUGGCGAUCACGAUCCACUUCUCACCACCACCGGCGAGCACCACAACCCAACCCCAGCACUCCCCCACCGCCGGCGACCAUCACCUCCACCGGCUUCUGGGCACUCCAACCACUGUUACCCCCAACACGAAGUUCACAACAGAGAACCAGGAGAUAUCGAGGAUGUUAUAAGAGAAAAAGUUCUUUCCGGAUCAACCGGAAAAGGGGCUGUCCGGACAGCCCCUGUGUGGGUCCCCUUUGCAUGUUUUUUUGUAAAAUCCGAACCAUGCACCUUGUAGGGCCCGCAAAAUAAUGUAUCUAUGCAAAAAAUCAAAUUGUCCAGACAUCAAUAGGUAUGUCAAAAGUUGAGUUUAUACACGGAAAAAUGGACGACCGUGAUCUGUCAACUGUUUUUAAAGUUAAACUGUUCACGGUCGUCCAUUUUUCCGUGUAAUAACUCAACUUUUGACAUACCUAUCGAUUCCGGACAAGCUAAUUUUAGGCGCAGAUACAUUAUUUUGCGGGCCCUACAAGCUGCACGAUUCGGAUUUUCCAAAAAAUUGCGCAAAGAAGGCCCACACAGGGGCUGUCCGGACAGCCCCUUUGUCCGGUUGAUCCGGGGGGAACUUAUUCUUCUCAUGUUAUAAACAAAACUUUUUUGGCUACGGAAGAGCAGUUCCUUUCUGUAGUAAAGAAGCAAUGGCUGAGUACACCUGAAGAGAUUGAAGCUAUUCAACUGGUGGACUGUUGUACAUUACAAAUGCGGAGAUUCUCGUGCGGUGUUGGGGAGAUUCGAAAAGGCAGUGAAAGAGAUUGAAACUAUUCAAGUGAAUCAAAGAUCAAGAAAAAUGACUAAUUUGUUGUAAUUUGUUGGAAUAUCAGGUUGUAGUAUCAAGUUUUAGUUUACUGAAACCUAACUUUGAUUGUAGCCUAUUUGUAUGACUAUAUGGUUUUAUGGUUUUUGUUGUGAAUAGAUAAUUUGGCAAUAAAUUUUGGUUAUGAA